Molecule: transfer RNA, 68 nt
Filed under: Mimachlamys senatoria
Lineage: Eukaryota; Metazoa; Mollusca; Bivalvia; Pectinida; Pectinidae
Description: tRNA-Lys
Rfam family: tRNA
About the family: Transfer RNA (tRNA) molecules are approximately 80 nucleotides in length.
Source: RNAcentral
AGGUUGAUAGCCUAAUUAGGGCGACGGACUUUUGAUUCGUAGGUGGGGUAUAGGGGCUCCUCAACCUG